RNAcentral lists this ribosomal RNA (492 nucleotides) under uncultured bacterium. RNAcentral's name for it is "bacterial SSU rRNA". It matches the Rfam family "Bacterial small subunit ribosomal RNA", at positions 30 to 507 of the family's 1533-position model. The record is from RNAcentral.
AUUGAACGCUGGCGGCAGGCCUAACACAUGGCAAGUCGAACGGUAGCACAGAGGAGCUUGCUCCUUGGGUGACGAGUGGCGGACGGGUGAGGUAAUGGUCUGGGAAACUGCCCGAUGGAGGGGGAUAACUACUGGAAACGGUAGCUAAUACCGCAUAACGUCGCAAGACCAAAGAGGGGGACCUUCGGGCCUCUUGCCAUCGGAUGUGCCCAGAUGGGAUUAGCUAGUAGGUGGGUAACGGCUCACCUAGGCGACGAUCCCUAGCUGGUCUGAGAGGAUGACCAGCCACACUGGAACUGAGACACGGUCCAGACUCCUACGGGAGGCAGCAGUGGGGAAUAUUGCACAAUGGGCGCAAGCCUGAUGCAGCCAUGCCGCGUGUAUGAAGAAGGCCUUCGGGUUGUAAAGUACUUUCAGCGGGGAGGAAGGGAGUAAAGUUAAUACCUUUGCUCAUUGACGUUACCCGCAGAAGAAGCACCGGCUAACUCCGUG